This 7121-nucleotide long non-coding RNA is filed under the name Pelobates cultripes (western spadefoot toad). Lineage: Eukaryota; Metazoa; Chordata; Amphibia; Anura; Pelobatidae. The record is from RNAcentral.
AUUUUUAAUAUUUUAUUCAUUAAUAUAAUUUUCAGAGAAGUUAAUAAGAAAUACAGCACAUGAAAAAAAAUAAAAAACAAUAUAUUACUUAAAGGGACACUAUGGGCACGCAGACCAUUUUCAGCUCAUUAAAGUGGUCUGGGUGCACGGACCCAGCACGCUUAAGCUGCAAAGGUAAUUAUUGCAGUUUUUAAUUGCACUAGACGGACUUCAGGAUCGUUAGGCGACUUUUGGACAUCCUCAUGCUAUGCACUGGAAUCCCCAUAGGAAAGCAUUAGGUAUCCCCCGCCGGCUGAUGUAGGCGGGGGAGGAGAGAAGGUGGACCAGAGGCAGCGCCGAUGGACCCAGGUAAAUGACAGAAGGGUUUUUAACUUCUUUUGCACUACAGGGUGUUGGAGUGGGGGGCUGUGACAGAGUGGGAAGCUAUAGUGCCAGGAGAGCAAGUUUGUUUUCCUGACACUAUAGUUUCCCUUUAAAUUUCAUUGACAGCUUUGAUGAAAUCCAUUAGCAGGCAUUUACUCACUCUGUGCCACGUUAGAUUAAUAAUUUCUGGUCUAAUGUAUCAGAAAACCUAUUACAGUAGCUUUCAAAGUUUGGAACUUAUUAUCAUCACUAAACGGCAUUAUUUCCUCUUUUUUUUUUUAAGAAAAUAAGGGAAAUUUGCAAUAAGUGUUUCCAUUCUGAUACCCCUUUAUCAGUGAUUGGCCUGUGUAUGCGAUUGACAAACCUACAUUCUAAGAGGCUUUGUAGUAGCCGAGGAUGUUCCAUUUUCCUGGCUGCUCUAUCUUUCCUACAUACACACAUUGGUGGUGGGCUAUUAAUAGCCCAGUUUCGGGGCCACUAAGAUGCAAUUGCCUGCCAGCAAAGAAAAAGAUUUAAUUUUGUUCCUGGACAGGAGCAGCUUCCUAUUUUUUCCUGGCAUUUUCUACCAACAGUGUCAAAGCUUUAAAGGUGUUGAGUUGUUUUUUUGUCAAUCUCUUUUUUAUUGAAUCAUAUGAGAUAUACAAUGUAAGAAGAACAAUUUGAGUCAUAUCAACAGUGUACAUGUUUAAACUUAGUGCAUAUUGAUAGUGAAUCAUUGCAAGUGUGAAAGUAGACUUCGGAACAAUGCAGCUUCACUAUAAGACAUUUUGUGAAAAUAAGAAAAGUAAGUAAUGGAGAGAGAUGUGCAACAUUAGCCCCAUCAAAAUACACGGUGCGUCGAUUAUUGACUGGACUAACAAUGGAAAUUUAAGACAUUUACAAUGAUUAUUAUUGCUUCUACUCCAUGAGGCUCCAACAGGGAUGAUAUUGGGAAUUCAGGCGCUCUGUGCGACUCGUAGGACUGAUGCCCACCAGUGUCCAAUCACCCACUAUAGAUAACAGUGAAAACAUUUUUACAUAAAACAGUAACUCAGUAACAGGCACUUCUAUUUGACUUUGUGCGAUGUGUUUGUAUGUGUCAGUAUGUUUGUGUGCAGUAUCAUUAUGUUUGUAUGUCAGUGUUUCUACGAGUCUGUAAUUUAGAGCAGCUCUGUCACGUUCUGGGGUCUUUGCCUAUUUUAAAAUAUAGGUUAAGGAGCAGCGCACACACAAAAAAUGUACUUUUAUAUUUUACAAGGCUACUGAAAAUCACCUCUCUUAGCAAACGUACAGGGAUUCAGUUUCACCAUAUGCCCAUAUUGUGUUGAGCCCACCACUAGGUUAAAGUGUCCCAAUAUCGGUUUCUACACUAAUUUGCUCAUGGGAGAUUAACAUGCUAACUGCAAUACUGCUUAAACAGCUUCCAAAGUCUCUCCUCAAAUUUAUGCUUCAUUGGGCUACCUCCAAAGGGGCACCUGUAGUGGAUGGGUGCUUAACCUAAAGGGAAUCUCGUCAUCAUACCUUAUUCAGUAGUGAUGUUGGUGUAAAGAGCAAAAUGUUUACAAGAUGCAUAUUAACCCCUUAAAGACUAAGCCAAAUUUAUAAGUUGUGAUCAAAACAAAAUGUAAAUAACCCCAGAAUUUGACUCUAUGUCUGUUCAACAAUAAUUUACCACUUUCAUACUAGGGGCACCCACACAUAUUAUAUAUCAUUUCAUAUCAAACAUUCAUACAUGGAACUCCAUUUUAUAUGAAUAAAAUCUAAAAAAGUUUGAAAAAUUAAAUUUUAUUUUUCAAUUUCUGCUUGGCAAUUUAACUGUUAAUGUCAGAAUACUGUUCAGUUUUACUACAAUAAAACAUACAUAUUUGUAUUCAUAAAUGUAUCACGAGUAAAACAGUAACCCCCAUGUACAGGUUUUAUGGGGUUUUGGAAAGUUACAGGGUCAAAUAUACAGCUUGUCCAUUCAUUUUGUUUCUGCAUAGAAAUUUGUCAGAUUAGUUUGCUGUGCCUAGGUUGCAUUUGAGACCGUAUGGCAGCCCAGAAAUGAAAAUUAUCCCCAUCAUGGCAUACCAUUAGAAAAAGUAGACAUCCCAGGGUAUUUAAAAUGGGGUAUGCUCAGUCUUUUUUAGUAGCCACUUGGGCACAAACCCUAGCCAAAGUUAGUGUUCAGAUUUUUAUUUUACAUUUUUCACAUAAAAAACUGUACUUUCACUGAUAAUAUUAUUGUCAUUAAAUAUGUUACUGCUCUGAAACACUCCUAGUUUUGUUCAGUGAUGUCUCACGAGCACAACGGUACCCCCCAUAUAUAGGUUUUAGAAAAUUACAGGGUCAAAUAUACGGCUUGUCCAUUUUUGUUUUACACAUUGACAUUUUGUAAACUGAUUUUCUGGGCCUAUCUCGCCAAUAUCUGAGACCGUAUGGCAGCCUGGGUUACAGUGUUACAGUGAUGCCAAGUGUAACAGUGAACGGCAGUAUUACUGGGGCCAUCAUGUUUGGGGGCACCCUGUCUCCGUCUGGUAUUGGGCAUUCUGAGCGUCCUCUUGUGGGUGGUGGUGGGGCACCAUCCCUUGAGGUCUCACUCAGAGGCUCAAUGUCAGAGGCAGUGAUAGUGUCACUGUCUUGCAGAGUGUCACUAUCACUGCCAGCCAGAAUGGCAUACACCUCCUCUGCUGAGUAGCGACGUGCCAUUCUAGGGGGACAAAUCAAUUAACUAAUAAAAAACUAAGGGGAUAAUUACCUAUUACCUACCUGCCUAACACCAACUACCCAACCUCAAAAACUCAUAAAAAAUAAAAUAAAUGUACUGAUCACAGUUUAGGCAGCUGUGAUCAGUACUGAAAGGGUUAUUGUAUUUAUUUAUUGUUUUUAAUAAAAAUAACCCCAAAAAAGGUCAGCCUGAUCAGAGAGCCCUCUGAUCACAGUGAUCACUGAUACAGUACUGUACAGCAGAUAUACUGUACAGUGAUCACGGCAGCAGGUAAGGGGUUAAGGGAGAUUUGGGCUGAUGCAACUGACACAAAGGGUAAAAAUUAUUAUUUUUUUUGAUUUCCACCCUCUCCCCCCCAAAAAAAAAUUAAUAUAGUACAAAAGUACUAAAAGCCCUAAUCAGGCUGAUCACAGUGUUAAGCUGUGAUCAGCACUGAAAGGGUUAUUUAAAAAAAAUCACUUUUUUAACUUUUAAAAAGUUAUCAAACUUUUUUCCACAGGAUCAGCAACGAUCUCUCUGCCUGUCUCUCUCUCAGAUCGAAGUGAGAUGAGGAGAGGAGCAGAGACAAUGUGUCAGCCAGUGAUUUAAAAUUAUUGGAUGACACAUUGCAACAGUGAUCGCAGUUACUGGCUGUCACUGCGAUCACAUGCUGCAGAUUGCGGUCAUUGUUGCCAGGCAUGCCCCCUGACCGCGAUCUGCAAAGGGGUAAUGGCGGCGGCCACGUGUAUCAGCCAAUUCAUGAAUUAGCUGACACAUAGUAACACUGAUUGCAGUGCCUGGCUGUCACUGUGAUCAGAUGUUGCAGAUCGCGGUCAUUUGCCCGACCGCGAUCUGCAACAGGCGAAUGGCGGUGGCCACGUGGGCGGCAAGAACGGCGAGGACGUUUAUGCUGCCCACUGGCGUUUAGAGCCAGCCCCUCAAGGACGGCAUAGAAUGCCCACCAUCCUUAAGAGGUUAAGGAGCAGGGCACACACACAAAAAAAAACCCAAAAACAAUUUAAAUCCAAGGGGAAUCAGUUACGCUAUAUAGCCAAAUUGUGUCAAGCCCACUGAUUUUGGGGUAAUGGUGGUAAUGGCUAGUGGUGGGCUUAACACAAUACGGCCAUAUGGUGUAACUGAAUCCUCAUAUUUGUUUGCCAAGAUAGGUGAUUUUCAGUAGCCUUGAGACAGAAAGGGGUAUUUUUCUAAACCCCUACACACUUGAUAGGGAACAUGUGGGCUGGGCGGCAGCAUUGUAACAUGGCUGUGUGAUACAAAAGCAAAUACAAAAAUAAGACCAUAACACACAUCAGCCCCAAAACAUACAGAAAAAAAAAAUGUUACCUGCACACCACCCCAAAUCCCUAUGCAUAUUUAUAAAAACCUCUAUUUGUAUAAAUAUGCAUAGGGAUUUGGGGUAGUGCGCAGGUUUCUCUCAUUUACUAUACUGUUACGUGGGGAUUAUGCUUUUAGUCAACACAGGAAAAUAAAACGUUGCAUUAGGAACGGCCAAGUUGACAAUUGGCCGUUCUUAAUUAACUCACACGGACGGUCAGAGGGGGUGGCUUAGGUAGCCUGCCUGGCUGCUCAUUGGUCAGAUGUGGAGAUCUCUGAACUAAAUAGCCAGCCUAUGUAUGGCAUUGUGCCUGCUUUCCUCUGUGUGUGUUAGUUUACAGGUCUGGGCACAAAGCUCCAUAUAAUUCAUAAAUCUGGUGACAUCUGCACCGUGCAAUUCUUCAACUUUGGUCAUAAAACUAUUUUACGUCUUUACAUUUUUCAAGCAGUAGGUGGAGCUAGCAUACCAUUUCACCCUAGCAAUUCAUUUCUAUAACUAUUUGUCAGUGUUUUUUUUUUUGGUUUCUUUUCAAUAUAUUGCAGAUCUCGCGUACAUAGGAUUCCCAUGAGAACUGGAGACUCACAGCAUGAGUAUGCACAUCUUGUGCUUUGUAGUCCCACUGUAGUCCCCAAAGGCCUAAUAUCUGCACACAGUGGCAAGUAAGAGACAGAGAGUUGUUAAUAGAAAAGCCAAAGAGGAUGGAGAAUAUAAAUCAAGAUAAUGUUACAAAACCCAGGGAAUUAGGGAAGAUGAACACGAACUAGAUUACUACAUUGCUCUUAAAGGGACACUGUAGGCACCCAGACCACUUCAGCUCAUCGAAGUGGUCUGGGUGCUGUGUCACUUUUGCACCUAGUUCUGCAAUGUUAAACAUUGCCGUUCCAGAGAACGGCAAUGUUUACAUUACAGCUCUAAGUCUGCCCGCAGUGGCUGUCUACCAGACAGCCACUAGGGGGCUUCCGGGAAUCUUAACAAACUUUUGGUCUGUUAUCUAACACUGGACUUCCUCACACUCUGCAUGAGGACCUCAGUGUCAGAUUUUUAUUCCCCAUAGGAAAGCAUUAUUUAAUGCUUUUCUAUGGUGAAGUCUAAUGCACUCGGCCUUCGCCACGCACUAGACCCUGCUCUUUGCGAGAAAGAGGAGGGGGCGGAGCUUCGCCCAGUGCCGAGGGACCUCGACGCUGGCAUAAGGUAUGUAAAGGGUUUUAUUUACUGGGGGGGAGGGGAAGGGGUGGCGAGGGAGGAGGGAGGCAGAGGGAUCUGUAGUGCCAGGAAUACAGCUUUGUAUUCCUGGCACUACAGUAUCCAUUUAAAUUUGAAAUUCUUUGAAUUCUCACUUUAUUGAAUAACCCUGUUAGUAUCAACGUUACAGAUUAUAAUGGAUACUUCCAACAGGAAAAAAAAAUAAUCUAUUGCAAUACAGCUCUAAAUUUCCCAGAAAAACACUCUUCACUGAGACAGGGAGAAUAAUCACAGUGCCACAUUAAGGAAAUGUGUUUAGACCACAUUGUUAUUUCUAAAGUAGAGAAGGUAGGCAUUUAAAAUAAAUAAAUAAAUAAAUUUAAAUUUUAUUUAACAUUACUGUUUAAACCAGUCAUUAUGAGAUGGGUUUGCGGACUACUCCCUAAUGGGAAUAUCCAUGACGUUGCAUAUAGGUAGUCCUCUCUCCUCUAAAAGUAGGACAGGCUUCAGGAUAGACAGAAAUCUUCUCUAUACACAGCUAAGAACAUCUGCAGGAUCACCACUACCAGAAGUAAUCAAAUUCCCUUUCUGGGAAUCCCUUCAACACUCUUUUCUGGCAGGGUAGUCUUGAAUCCAGUCCCGCAGUUUCUACUGAUGGUAUUCUGGGCAUUUUAUGAAUCGCAACAAAUAUCUCUUCCAAUGUUCUAUCUGAAUAUAAUGUUACCAAGAAUCUGUGUCAGUGUACGGCUUAGUUGGAUAGCCGCUGUGAAGGUAGUAAUCAAAUCUCUGAUACAGCUUUCAAUGACCUUUGCUCUGCUGGUGCCACCCUGAUGCUGAUUCAGCAAACUAGGUGAAAAGGGCAGCACGAUAUCAGCAUCUCUACCUGGAAGAUGGCAUUGAAGUCAAGUUGUUAAAGGAACACUAUAGUAUCAGGAAUCAAUGGCGUACACACAAUCCAUAGGCACUCCCCCCGACAGACACACAUACAAAAUGUUUGUCACCCUCCUGUUUCCUACCUUUUGGGUGCAGGAGGGUGACUUCCCCUGGGGUCCAGUGGUGGCUCAGGCUGGAGGGAGUCAGAGAUCCCACUCAGACUCCCUCUCCUUCCUCCUGCACAGGCUCUGAUAGCUGGAAGGAGUGAUGGGCAGUCUCAUCAUCACAGGGGACCGGUCGCGCUGUUAAAGCACCGCAGCGCUGACUGGGGCCCACUGGAAAUCCAUCUCCAUCGGGUGGCCCUAACAGGAUGGGCCCCUUAACGUGCAGCCCCGGUCGUUUGCUAUGCAGGCCGCAACACAUGGCCCUAUAGGAAAGCAUAAGAGGCUAUCAUGCAUACGCAGCAAAACUCCACGACGUACACCAGUGCAGCAUUGACACAGGAUGCACCUCUAGGGCCACUUGAGUGACUGCCACUAGAGGUUAUUAGCCAGCAUUGUAAACACUGCUUUUGCUAUGAAAAGGCAGCGUUUACAAUGCACAGCCUGCAAGGACAGGCUAUAGCCACCAGAAAAUUAAGUUGUAGCGAUUCUGGUGACUACAGUGCCCUUUUAAUGUUGACAAAUGUAGCGGUGAUCUCAG